This 271-nucleotide ribosomal RNA is filed under the name uncultured bacterium. RNAcentral's name for it is "partial 16S ribosomal RNA". It matches the Rfam family "Bacterial small subunit ribosomal RNA", at positions 793 to 1055 of the family's 1533-position model. The record is from RNAcentral.
GUCCACGCCGUAAACGAUGAGUGCUAGCUGCCGGAAACGUCUACCGUUUCGGUGGCGAAGCUAACGCAUUAAGCACUCCGCCUGGGGAGUACGGCCGCAAUGGCUGAAACUCAAAGGAAUUGACGGGGGCCCGCACAAGCGGUGGAGCAUGUGGUUCAAUUCGAAGCAACGCGCAGAACCUUACCCAGGCUUGACAUCCCGGGAACCCUGCUGAAAGGCGGGGGUGCCGUCGCAAGACGGAGCCCGGAGACAGGUGCUGCAUGGCUGUCGU